This 468-nucleotide ribosomal RNA is filed under the name uncultured bacterium. Its description in RNAcentral is "partial 16S ribosomal RNA". It matches the Rfam family "Bacterial small subunit ribosomal RNA", at positions 28 to 507 of the family's 1533-position model. The record is from RNAcentral.
GACGAACGCUGGCGGCGUGCUUAACACAUGCAAGUCGAACGGAAAGGCCAUGCUUUUGUGGGGUGCUCGAGUGGCGCACGGGUGAGUGAAACGUGAGUAAACUGCCCUUGUCUUUGGGAGAACUUCAGGAGACUCGGGCUAUUACCGGGUAGGAGAUCCUGCUGCAUGGGGGGCGUUGGAAAGUGUCGGCGGUUGGGGAUGGACUCGAGGCUUCUCAGCUUGAUGGUGAGGUAGGGGCUUAACAACGCUGUGAAGGGUAGGCGGCCUGGGAGGGUGACCGGCGUCAGUGGGACUACGAGACGGCGCAGACGCCUACGGGAGGCAGCAGUCGGGAAUAUUGCAGAACAGGCGGAAGCCAGAUACAGCAACGCUGCGAGCGUGAUGCCGGCUUUCGGGUUGUAAACAGAUUUCUCAUGUGACGAAGCGUGAGUGACGGUAAUGGGUAAAGAAGCACCGGCUAACUACGUG